This 441-nucleotide ribosomal RNA is filed under the name uncultured bacterium. Its description in RNAcentral is "partial 16S ribosomal RNA". It matches the Rfam family "Bacterial small subunit ribosomal RNA", at positions 338 to 795 of the family's 1533-position model. The record is from RNAcentral.
CCUACGGGAGGCAGCAGUGGGGAAUAUUGCACAAUGGGGGGAACCCUGAUGCAGCGACGCCGCGUGGGUGAAGGAGUAUUUCGGUAUGUAAAGCCCUAUCAGCAGGGAAGAACAAUGACGGUACCUGACUAAGAAGCACCGGCUAAAUACGUGCCAGCAGCCGCGGUAAUACGUAUGGUGCAAGCGUUAUCCGGAUUUACUGGGUGUAAAGGGAGCGCAGGCGGCGCGUUAAGCCUGGUGUGAAAGUCCGCGGCCCAACCGCGGGACUGCAUUGGGGACUGGCGCGCUGGAGUGCCGGAGGGGUAGGCGGAAUUCCUAGUGUAGCGGUGAAAUGCGUAGAUAUUAGGAGGAACACCAGUGGCGAAGGCGGCCUACUGGACGGUGACUGACGCUGAGGCUCGAAAGCGUGGGGAGCAAACAGGAUUAGAUACCCCAGUAGUC